This 478-nucleotide ribosomal RNA is filed under the name uncultured bacterium. RNAcentral's name for it is "bacterial SSU rRNA". It matches the Rfam family "Bacterial small subunit ribosomal RNA", at positions 8 to 481 of the family's 1533-position model. The record is from RNAcentral.
AGAGUUUGAUCCUGGCUCAGAAUCAACGCUGGCGGCGUGCCUAACACAUGCAAGUCGAACGCGAAAGUCCCGCAAGGGAUGAGUAGAGUGGCAAACGGGUGAGUAACACGUGGGUGACCUGCCCUCGAGCGGGGGAUAACGUCCCGAAAGGGACGCUAAUACCGCAUAACAUCCUGCCUUUGAAGAGGCGGUGAUCAAAGCUGGGGAUCGCAAGACCUAGCACUCGAAGAGGGGCCCGCGUCCGAUUAGCUAGUUGGUGGGGUAAUGGCCCACCAAGGCAACGAUCGGUAGCCGGCCUGAGAGGGCGGACGGCCACACUGGGACUGAGACACGGCCCAGACUCCUACGGGAGGCAGCAGUGGGGAAUUGUUCGCAAUGGGCGCAAGCCUGACGACGCAACGCCGCGUGGAGGAUGAAGACCUUCGGGUCGUAAACUCCUUUCGAUCGAGACGAAUUCCUCCGGGGUGAACAAUCCCGG